Molecule: transfer RNA, 73 nt
Filed under: Rattus norvegicus (Norway rat)
Lineage: Eukaryota; Metazoa; Chordata; Mammalia; Rodentia; Muridae
Description: tRNA-Ala-AGC-29-1
Source: RNAcentral
UUGGGGAUUUAGCUCAGCGGAAGAGCGCUUGCCUAGCGAGCGCAAGGCCCUGGGUUCGGUCCCCAGCUCCAAA